Molecule: ribosomal RNA, 443 nt
Filed under: uncultured bacterium
Lineage: Bacteria
Description: partial 16S ribosomal RNA
Rfam family: Bacterial small subunit ribosomal RNA
Source: RNAcentral
CCUACGGGGGGCUGCAGUGGGGGAUAUUGGACAAUGGGGGGAACCCUGAUCCAGCGACGCCGCGUGAGUGAAGAAGUAUUUCGGUAUGUAAAGCUCUGUCAGCAGGGAAGAAAGAAAUGACGGUACCUGACCAAGAAGCCCCGGCUAACUACGUGCCAGCAGCCGCGGGAAUACGUAGGGGGCAAGCGUUAUCCGGAAUUACUGGGUGUAAAGGGAGCGUAGACGGUUAAGUAAGUCUGGAGUGAAAGGCCGGGGCCCAACCCCGGGACUGCUCUGGAAACUAUUGGACUUGAGUGCAGGAGAGGUAAGCGGAAUUCCUAGUGUAGCGGUGAAAUGCGUAGAUAUUAGGAGGAACACCAGUGGCGAAGGCGGCUUACUGGACUGUAACUGACGUUGAGGCUCGAAAGCGUGGGGAGCAAACAGGAUUAGAUACCCUGGUAGUC